Molecule: ribosomal RNA, 366 nt
Filed under: uncultured eukaryote
Lineage: Eukaryota
Description: bacterial SSU rRNA
Rfam family: Eukaryotic small subunit ribosomal RNA
Source: RNAcentral
CAAUAGCGUAUAUUUAAGUUGUUGCAGUUAAAAAGCUCGUAGUUGGAUUUCGGUUGAGAACGGCCGGUCCGCCGUUUGGUGUGCACUGGCUGGUCUCAACUUCCUGUAGAGGACGCGCUCUGGGUUAACGCUCGGACGCGGAGUCUACGUGGUUACUUUGAAAAAAUUAGAGUGUUCAAAGCGGGCUUACGCUUGAAUAUUUCAGCAUGGAAUAACACUAUAGGACUCCUGUCCUAUUUCGUUGGUCUCGGGACGGGAGUAAUGAUUAAAGGGAGAGACUAGGGGGCGACUCGUAUUUCCUCGUAGAGAGGUGGAAUUAACUUCUAGGACCUAAUGGAAGACGAACCUACUGCGAAAGCAUUUGCC